This 81-nucleotide small nuclear RNA is filed under the name Jaculus jaculus (lesser Egyptian jerboa). RNAcentral's name for it is "U4 spliceosomal RNA (ENSJJAG00000004316.1)". It matches the Rfam family "U4 spliceosomal RNA", at positions 1 to 81 of the family's 138-position model. From Rfam's summary of the family: U4 small nuclear RNA (U4 snRNA) is a component of the major U2-dependent spliceosome. Lineage: Eukaryota; Metazoa; Chordata; Mammalia; Rodentia; Dipodidae. The record is from RNAcentral.
AGCUUUGUGUAGUGGCAGUAUCAUAGCCAAUGAGGUUUAUCUGAACCACAAUUAUUGCUAAUUAAAAACUUUUCCUGAUUA